UAUGUUGCUUCUCCUUGCAGCGCUCAAUAGCGACCAGCCCAGGCAUCAUUGCAGACUUGACACCGGCCAAAUCGGACGACAAGCAUCUACGGCAUGUGCAGUGACAAUUUGUGCUUGAAAAAAAAAAAAAGAGAAAAGAAUAGAAAAAAAAAACAUCUUAUGAAGAUGUGCACAUGACUCUCACUGCCGAAGAGGGAAAGACUUUUUUCCGCAAGCAGACGGCCGGAGACGCACGGGGGCGAGACAUAAACGCCCAUAAGUUGCUGAAAUGAAUCGUCAUGUACAGGGCUGCCAUAAGAGGAAGAAGAAGAAAAAAAGAAGCUCCAAAUGCCUCCAACAUGGAGGGGGGAAGAAGGGAUGCACCCAGAGACGAACAUGACAAGGAAAAGACAACCAUAAUGAAAGAAAGGUCCAAACAUGAUGGAGGCACCUUGGGUCUGUCGGCAGUCUAACGCCAGCAUACUACCCCCACCAGGCAUCAAUAGACAAGGCAACAUUCCAGCUGUGGUGAGAUUGAGGAAGUCAAGACACACACACACACACACACACACACGAGGCCAGAGGUACGUGAGCAGAUGAGCAUUAAGUCAGGCAACUAAACAGAUCGGUUUGAUAUCAGCAGACAGACAGAGGAAGCCAGUCUAUACCUGCAGGCAGUCAGCAGCACCCUCACCAGGAAUGUCCUCCCACUUGUGAGACACAUAAAUGUAGCUGGACUUUCCUCUCAAACAUCUACGUGAUCUGGUCUUCAAAUGUAUAGCAGUCAUCAGAAAUGUAAUUUGCAUUUAGAACAGCAAAUCUACAACGAUGGAAAGAUAAAAACAGAAUUAUCAACAAAACCCUUGUUUUAAUUAUUGGGGAAACAAACGUUUUAAAGUAACACCAUUCUACCUUAUAAUCAAGCUUUAUAACCACUGGUUGUAGACUGGCUGCCAUGGCAACCCCGCAUGACCUGCUAUUUGUGGUCAUUAUAAAAGGUAGAACAAAGAAUAUCACCCACGAAAUGAACUUGAAUAUAAAAAGAAAGAAAAGCCGCUGUAUUGAAAUUAUAUUAGCACGCAUUCACAUGCUACUCUGAUACUGACUACAGGCACUCCCUUUUGUUACUUUGGAGUAAUUUGAUCAUCCCUGCAUGAAUUUGUCUGUCUGGAAUUACGAGGACGUUCCAACGAGGUAACUGGUAUCAAUUGGGGAAACUUUGACGGUAUCGAUUUGCAAGACUUGCUUUGCUAGUUUGCUGUUGUGGGAACUCUGUGGAGAAAUGAUCUGUUGUGAGAAUUUAACUAUAGUCUCCAAGCAGAACCAAACUCUUUAGGUUGGACUAAAUAAGUAGUGCUAACAAUUCCCGUCUCCUGUGCAGAUUUACGGACUCCCUCUUCAAACUAACAUUGUCAUUAAGCUCCUCCUGAAGAUUUACAUUUGCCUGAAGAAACCACCACCUACGCUUAUCUAAAGAUGACUCAGUAGCUAAAUGUCAGAGCUGUCCAUGCCAUUAAGGCCAACGACUUUGAAGGCUGGACACCCUGAAACCCCACCCUCACUUCCCCCGUCUCUUCUUAUUCCUUUCUCACUCCCACUUUGACUUUGCCUUCAUCCGCCAUCAUCCAUCUCCCGCACAUCCAGGCUGGUUUAAGGGCUGAUGUGUGCGUAGACCUUGUCAUUCACAUUAGGGUAACAAUGUCAGCUCAGGGCCCUUCCCUCUCUCCUUCUUUCUGUGCCUCUCUCAUGGCCUAGAUCUUUCUUCCUGUCACCCUCAUCCUGCGGCCAGAGAAGACCUUAUAAAGCAACAUCCUUCUCUUCCACUUCUGUCAAUUCCAACUCUGUCAUUCAAAUCCUUGUCUGCCAGUGAGCAGAGUUUGCAGUGAAAAGCAAACACUUUAUUUUUAAUUGGGAUUUUGUGUGCAUGGAGGCAGAAGAUGAAAAUGCAGGGAAAUUAGUCAGCAUUCUUUAACAGCAGCCAUGAAUGAAACAAAUAUCUAAAGUACUUUAAGGUUGAAAAUGUCGUGUCAGCACAUUACCUAAUCAACUCAGCAACCAUCCAAUCUUUAAAAGUAUCCCAAAUUGCAGAUUUAUCUGCUGGCCUCUUGACUGAUGGCCUCUGAUGGACAGUUGCUUGAUUUUUAAUGAGCAGGCUAAUGACAUUGCCUGGAAGAGCAACAUUUCAAUGUUCAGUAAUAUGUUUCAUGCACGGCCCUGGGCGGCUUUAAGCGCCGAAAAGGAAGGUUUGCAUGAUCGUUAGCCCGAUUUGUAAUUUGGGUGAGUCAACAGUUUCAUUUUGCUCAUUGCAAGAGAUGACAUGAGAAUGCCCCCGGUAUAGACCACACCUAAAAACUGCCAUGACUCAGUUGUUUCAAAAUGACAUCUUCCUCUCUCCACUGCCAUUUUAAAGGAAAUGAAGCCCUUUGCUAAACACCGACUCUAUCCUUAGUGUCAUAAUGAGAAUGUGUUAGAGUAGUUGCUACGUGCGUACAACACUUGGUGACAGUUUAUGACAGGCCAGCAUUAACAUUGCUGACUUUGAACAAUGAGCGAGGCAAAGCCAGUCCUUUGUGCAAAGCCCUUGAUUGUGGAGUAUGCAGAGGCUCUAAAAUACUUUUUUUUCUAUUCAUAUCAACAUAACUGUUUCCUUCAAAAACAAAAUUCACAGUGAUUAUUUUUUGGUGGCAGAUAUAAGUUAGGAUACAUGCACAUGCAUAGAAAAAUAUAUUUAGAUGUCAAGUAAGCUUAUUGAUAUAUGUGUUGAGUAUUAGAAUGGUAUUCAUGCUUUUGCAGAUUGUGUCAUAGUAGGGCAAAACUGUGUGAAACAUUGAACCCACAUUUCUUGAUCUCCUUGGUCACCAUCAGGUUUGUGCUUGCCCCAGUGAACAUUCAACGCUGUCGGUGAGUUUGGUUAAUAGAAGAACCAUCGACCGUUGAUUGUACCCUGUGGUAGGCAGUUAGCCAGAAAACAAAUAAAAGGUGCAGAAUCUGCACACAGGCAUUGGAAAUGACUCAUCGACCCUUUUCUACAAGCAAGAUGACACAAUUUUGUUGUUGUUUACAAAAACCAACCACAAAGGUCACAAUCAACAUUCAUUGCUGUCGGUGGGUUUAACUGUAUAGAAGAGCUCACUGAACGAUGAAUGCAACUGUGUCCCAGAUUUCGGCUGACUUCACAACGAAUAAUGUCACGAUAUGCUGAUGAUGCUAUUGUUUAUAUCCGUGCCUGCCCUGCUCCAAGCCUUCCACCAAUAACAGGCAAACACGGACUGCGCAGACUGACAGGAAGUUCAGAUUGCAUCUCGAUCACACUGGCUGUGCUGGAGGGGCUUGAAUCUCGCAACAAAGGCAAAGCAAGAAUGGGGGGAAAAGGAGGGGGAAAGAUGCAGAGAUACUUGUGGGGAAAAAAUGACCUUAAAAAAAUUGCAUUUACGUUUGAUAUAAAAUAGCUGAAAUUUUCAACUGAAGUUAAUGAGUUGCCUCAAGAUGCCUCUAUGCACCCAACACCAUUAUUAAAGGAAGAGUGUGCUUUCCAAUUAUCCAAUUUAUUUGAUUAAGGGUGAACAUGAACAGAUGCAUUUUUUCUUAUUUAUUAAAACAGCAUUGUAUGUUGUAAUCUAUGGUACUUGUAUUUAUUGAAUAAUGUCCAAUAAAAUGUGUCAGAUUA
Molecule: long non-coding RNA, 3646 nt
Organism: Syngnathus typhle (broad-nosed pipefish)
Lineage: Eukaryota; Metazoa; Chordata; Actinopteri; Syngnathiformes; Syngnathidae
Exons: 4
Source: RefSeq, a predicted model, not a curated record